AUGAACGCUAGCGACAGGCCUAACACAUGCAAGUCGAGGGGCAGCACAAGGAGCAAUCUGAGGUGGCGACCGGCGCACGGGUGAGUAACACGUAUGCAACCUGCCUGUAAGCGGGGAAUAACCCGUUGAAAGACGGACUAAUACCGCAUAAUACUAAAUUACUGCAUGGUAAUUUAUUUAAACAUUUAUGGCUUACAGAUGGGCAUGCGCAUGAUUAGCUAGUUGGAGAGGUAACGGCUCCCCAAGGCAACGAUCAUUAGGGGUUCUGAGAGGAAGGUCCCCCACACUGGUACUGAGACACGGACCAGACUCCUACGGGAGGCAGCAGUGAGGAAUAUUGGUCAAUGGACGAGAGUCUGAACCAGCCAAGUCGCGUGCAGGAAGAAUGUCCUAUGGAUUGUAAACUGCUUUUGCAGGGGAAUAAAGUGCAUCACGCGUGAUGUUUUGUAUGUACUCUGCGAAUAAGGAUCGGCUAACUCCGUGCCAGCAGCUGC
Molecule: ribosomal RNA, 494 nt
Filed under: uncultured bacterium
Lineage: Bacteria
Description: bacterial SSU rRNA
Rfam family: Bacterial small subunit ribosomal RNA
Source: RNAcentral